RNAcentral lists this ribosomal RNA (253 nucleotides) under uncultured bacterium. RNAcentral's name for it is "partial 16S ribosomal RNA". It matches the Rfam family "Bacterial small subunit ribosomal RNA", at positions 524 to 776 of the family's 1533-position model. The record is from RNAcentral.
UACGUAGGGUGCGAGCGUUGUCCGGAAUUAUUGGGCGUAAAGAGCUCGUAGGCGGUUUGUCACGUCUGCUGUGAAAUCCCGAGGCUCAACCUCGGGCCUGCAGUGGGUACGGGCAGACUGGAGUGAUGUAGGGGAGACUGGAAUUCCUGGGGUAGCGGUGAAAUGCGCAGAUAUCAGGAGGAACACCGAUGGCGAAGGCAGGUCUCUGGGCAUUAACUGACGCUGAGGAGCGAAAGCAUGGGGAGCGAACAGG